ACGGGAGGCAGCAGUGGGGAAUAUUGGACAAUGGGGGAAACCCUGAUCCAGCGACGCCGCGUGAGUGAAGAAGUAUUUCGGUAUGUAAAGCUCUAUCAGCAGGGAAGAUAAUGAUGGUACCUGACUAAGAAGCCCCGGCUAACUACGUGCCAGCAGCCGCGGUAAUACGUAGGGGGCAAGCGUUAUCCGGAUUUACUGGGUGUAAAGGGAGCGUAGACGGAAGGCCAAGUCUGAUGUGAAAACCCAGGGCUCAACCCUGGGACUGCAUUGGAAACUGGUCAUCUAGAGUGCAGGAGGGGUAAGCGGAAUUCCUAGUGUAGCGGUGAAAUGCGUAGAUAUUAGGAGGAACACCAGUGGCGAAGGCGGCUUACUGGACUGUAACUGACGUUGAGGCUCGAAAGCGUGGGGAGCAGACAGGAUUAGAUACCCUGGUA
This 434-nucleotide ribosomal RNA is filed under the name uncultured Clostridium sp. RNAcentral's name for it is "partial 16S ribosomal RNA". It matches the Rfam family "Bacterial small subunit ribosomal RNA", at positions 341 to 792 of the family's 1533-position model. Lineage: Bacteria; Bacillati; Bacillota; Clostridia; Eubacteriales; Clostridiaceae. The record is from RNAcentral.